GGACUGGAGCUUAAUGGUAGAGCACUCGCCUGGCAUGCGUGAGGCACUGGGUUCGAUCCUCAGCACCA
RNAcentral lists this transfer RNA (68 nucleotides) under Marmota monax (woodchuck). RNAcentral's name for it is "tRNA.Ala". The stretch from base 5 to 65 matches the Rfam family "tRNA", at positions 6 to 65 of the family's 71-position model. Rfam says of the family: Transfer RNA (tRNA) molecules are approximately 80 nucleotides in length. Their secondary structure includes four short double-helical elements and three loops (D, anti-codon, and T loops). Further hydrogen bonds mediate the characteristic L-shaped molecular structure. tRNAs have two regions of fundamental functional importance: the anti-codon, which is responsible for specific mRNA codon recognition, and the 3' end, to which the tRNAs corresponding amino acid is attached (by aminoacyl-tRNA synthetases). tRNAs cope with the degeneracy of the genetic code in two manners: having more than one tRNA (with a specific anti-codon) for a particular amino acid; and 'wobble' base-pairing, i.e. permitting non-standard base-pairing at the 3rd anti-codon position. Lineage: Eukaryota; Metazoa; Chordata; Mammalia; Rodentia; Sciuridae. The record is from RNAcentral.